RNAcentral lists this ribosomal RNA (282 nucleotides) under uncultured bacterium. Its description in RNAcentral is "partial 16S ribosomal RNA". It matches the Rfam family "Bacterial small subunit ribosomal RNA", at positions 773 to 1060 of the family's 1533-position model. The record is from RNAcentral.
GUGGAUUAGAUACCCUAGUAGUCCACGCCGUAAACUAUGAUUACUCGCUGUUGGCGAUACAUUGUCAGCGGCUGAGCGAAAGCAUUAAGUAAUCCACCUGGGGAGUACGAUCGCAAGGUUGAAACUCAAAGGAAUUGACGGGGGCCCGCACAAGCGGAGGAACAUGUGGUUUAAUUCGAUGAUACGCGAGGAACCUUACCUGGGCUUAAAUGUAGAGCGACAGACUGGGAAACUGGUCCUUCUUCGGACGAUCUACAAGGUGCUGCACGGCCGUCGUCAACU